RNAcentral lists this ribosomal RNA (441 nucleotides) under uncultured bacterium. RNAcentral's name for it is "SSU rRNA". It matches the Rfam family "Bacterial small subunit ribosomal RNA", at positions 26 to 518 of the family's 1533-position model. The record is from RNAcentral.
AGAACGAACGCUGGCGGCAGGCCUAACACAUGCAAGUCGAACGCGACUUCGGUCGAGUGGCGCACGGGUGAGUAACGCGUGGGAACCUGUCCUGUGGUACGGAAUAACAUCGGGAAACUGGUGCUAAUACCGUAUAUCCCCUGAGGGGGAAAGAUUUAUCGCCAUAGGAGGGGCCCGCGUAGGAUUAGCUAGUUGGUGAGGUAACGGCUCACCAAGGCGACGAUCCUUAGCUGGUCUGAGAGGAUGAUCAGCCACACUGGGACUGAGACACGGCCCAGACUCCUACGGGAGGCAGCAGUGGGGAAUAUUGGACAAUGGGCGAAAGCCUGAUCCAGCCAUGCCGCGUGAGUGAUGAAGGCCUUCGGGUUGUAAAGCUCUUUCGCACGUGACGAUGAUGACGGUAACGUGAGAAGAGCCCGGCUAACUCGCGCCAGCAGCCGC